CACCCUCUCCCUGAAACGGUGUCGUUUCACGCCCAUCCACCGUCGUCUUCCUCUGGAAACAGAGGAAGCCACCGGUGAAGAAUAAAACAAAACGCUGCCCAGAUGGGCAGCCCAACACAAGCCAAAUUUAGCCUACCAAGGUCCCCAAUCCAAACAGACUUCCUCCCGGACACGCUACUGGAAUCCGGGCCAAGGUCUACCACCAACAGUCCAGGCAUACUGUUCGCGUCGGUGUCUUAGCAGGAAACUAACUCCCCAAGCCAGGCUUAUCAGGAGGAGAGACGUAGGUUG
This 291-nucleotide long non-coding RNA is filed under the name Populus tremula. RNAcentral describes it as "long non-coding RNA (PTRE_LNC001631)". The record is from RNAcentral. Lineage: Eukaryota; Viridiplantae; Streptophyta; Magnoliopsida; Malpighiales; Salicaceae.